Molecule: ribosomal RNA, 468 nt
Filed under: uncultured bacterium
Lineage: Bacteria
Description: partial 16S ribosomal RNA
Rfam family: Bacterial small subunit ribosomal RNA
Source: RNAcentral
GACGAACGCUGGCGGCGUGCUUAACACAUGCAAGUCGAACGGAAAGGCCCUGCUUUUGUGGGGUGCUCGAGUGGCGAACGGGUGAGUAACACGUGAGUAACCUGCCCUUGACUUUGGGAUAACUUCAGGAAACUGGGGCUAAUACCGGAUAGGAGCUCCUGCUGCAUGGUGGGGGUUGGAAAGUUUCGGCGGUUGGGGAUGGACUCGCGGCUUAUCAGCUUGUUGGUGGGGUAGUGGCUUACCAAGGCUUUGACGGGUAGCCGGCCUGAGAGGGUGACCGGCCACAUUGGGACAGAGAUAAGGCCCAGACUCCUACGGGAGGCAGCAGUGGGGAAUAGUGCACAAUGGGCGGAAGCCUGAUGCAGCAACGCCGCGUGCGGGAUGACGGCCUUCGGGUUGUAAACCGCUUUCGCCUGUGACGAAGCGUGAGUGACGGUAAUGGGUAAAGAAGCACCGGCUAACUACGUG